This 384-nucleotide long non-coding RNA is filed under the name Ananas comosus (pineapple). RNAcentral's name for it is "long non-coding RNA (ACOM_LNC021091)". The record is from RNAcentral. Lineage: Eukaryota; Viridiplantae; Streptophyta; Magnoliopsida; Poales; Bromeliaceae.
UUUUAAGUCUAAGGUCAAGAAUGUCUGCCGACACUCUACUAUCCAUAUUCUAUCCAGAUUUAUUUGAUCUAUUCUACUAAUAUUCCAUGAUGUAGAUUUAUUCAAUGCUUAAAGCUUAGUUUGGUAUUGAGGUCUAUGUAACGCUGUUAAAUAAAUGAACUUGAGAAAAAAGUAUAUAGGAAUAUGCUUCUGCGUUCUCCGGUGGGACCACAGAAAAUAUAUCGUAACUGACUCAUCGCGAUACGGAGAACAUGUACAAUAUUACAUAUGAAAACAAACGGGUAUUUUUCCAACGUACUUUUUUACCACACAUAACACAAUCUCCCCGCAAUCCCAAAUGAAGCCUAACUCUACUACUAUCCAAUUUCGAUCGGUUUAAGAUUA